ACUGACUCUUAGUACUCCAACUUCAAAAUCUCUUCUUUUUGGCUUAUUUAAGACCACUCACUAAGCAACGCACCUUUGAUAAUUCCACUGCCGUCCUUUGCGGGGGUGAUCCUGAGGAUCAAAGGCGAUGCUGUUUGUGAAAGAGCCGGAGACUGCGAGGUUGUUCUGGGUACCGAAGUCGGGGACUGCCAGCCAGCCCGCUGCCUUCAUGAGUAGUACCAGUUGAAGGCAUAAGAUCGUGCAACUAAAGGGCAGAUUUCAGUGACUUGAGUCUGAACAAGAAGGCAGAAAUGACCAGAAAUCUGGGAGCCUGAACAAAGAGGGGAGAGCCAAAACUUUAAGGUAUGUGUCAUCUACAUUCAUGAUUCUAAUUGUAGUAACAUGCAACAAUUUUGAGGUUUAGGUAUAUUAAGAAAUAC
This 419-nucleotide long non-coding RNA is filed under the name Sus scrofa (pig). RNAcentral's name for it is "lncRNA (ENSSSCG00025044023.1)". Lineage: Eukaryota; Metazoa; Chordata; Mammalia; Artiodactyla; Suidae. The record is from RNAcentral.